This is a non-coding RNA of Pelobates cultripes (western spadefoot toad), 270 nucleotides long. NCBI's taxonomy places the organism in Eukaryota, Metazoa, Chordata, Amphibia, Anura, Pelobatidae. The record is from the annotation of a GenBank genome assembly.
CCUGGCUCACUUAUCGUACCAUCUGCGCUGUCGUUGUUGGGCCGCUGGGAGGUUGUCGCGUACGGUCUGGGUCAGCACCUCCAGGCGUUCCCUAAACUCUAGCACAUAGGGUACGAUGGGUGUGCCGUUAAUAGUCCCUUCUCCCUCCCAGUGUUCCCGGAUUAAAUCAAGGGGGCCCCUCACUCUCCUCCCGAAUAACAGUUCAAAAGGAGAGAACCCGGUGGAUUCUUGGGGUACUUCCCUAUAGGCGAAUAACAAGUGGGGUAAAAA